AAAACUUCUUUGUUGGUCAACAUUGAAUUUCAGAAAAUAACAAUUCAUAGGGUAUUAGAUUUAAUUAAUUGUUUGAAAGUUCGAAUUGUCUUUAACUCUAAUUUGAAGGGAAUGAGAUGCAUCCUUGUCCUUUUUUUAUUAUUGAAUUAUUUAUAUUAUGGAAUGGUAGCUUGUAGUUCCUUUCCACUUAAAUCCACUCUGUCCAAUUCUACUCUCUUUCUAGCCUAUUUAAUUUGGUGAGUCAUCUAACUGGUUGUGCUAUAAAUUAGUGUCUCCCCGCUAAAAUCGAUUGUGACAUUGUUAAAAUCUCUACAUUUUGUUGAGUUUCUGCAUCUCCUGUCUCUAGUAAUCUUUCUAUUGCUGAUCAAUCUUAUAGCCGCCAAGAUGGUUGGGAUACUUUCAACUUUAUAUAAUUAGCAACACGGGUUGUUUUGUUUUAGUCAGUGCAACUGCAACAUAAGCUCGAGUCAUUCAUCACAAGGCCUUUCUAUUCUAUUCUUGAAGACUGGAAGUUAAUUUUAGCUGUUGUACUUCGAUCUGUGCCUGACAAGUUGACUCUAAGCUGCAAUGGGUGGUGUUUGGUGGUGGAAACUGCUUUUUGCUGCUCUUGCUGUGACUCUCUUGUCUGCUGAAUAUUGUGCUUCCCAGAAAGGUACAACUGACAAAAUCUUUAAUUUUCUUGCUAUCCCUUGUUCAUUGCUUUGUUUGGAUUUGUGUUGGUUAAAUGUGAAAACACAUUCCGAUCACUCAAUAAAAUCAAUGCGUUCAAUUUGGUGAAUGUGCAUUGGAAAUCGUGAUUCUGAUUUAUUGAAUGUUAUUUUAAAAUGAAAAUUAAAUAGAUACAGACAUAUUGCAAUAGAUUAGAUAGCUUGCUUAAACAAGAAACAUAUUGUGUUUAAUUUUGAUGGAAUUAUUAGGUCACUAAUUAGUAAAUAAUUUUAAUUAUCUGCUUUCAGGUAAUUUGUUGUUUAUGAUUUUAAUUUUGUAUAAAAUUAUUUAACACUUUAUAAUCUAAAUUUAUUGUCAUUUCUUCAAGUUG
This 1039-nucleotide long non-coding RNA is filed under the name Lotus japonicus. RNAcentral describes it as "long non-coding RNA (LJAP_LNC000864)". The record is from RNAcentral. Lineage: Eukaryota; Viridiplantae; Streptophyta; Magnoliopsida; Fabales; Fabaceae.